This is a non-coding RNA of Anaerobacillus alkalilacustris, 81 nucleotides long. Lineage: Bacteria; Bacillati; Bacillota; Bacilli; Caryophanales; Bacillaceae. The record is from Rfam.
AAAGAGCUAUAACCGCUCAUAAAAGGGUUUUAAAGAAUUUACUCGUGUAAAUCACCCUCGGUGGCGAGUCUGAGUAUAAUA